UACGUAGGGGGCCCAGCGUUGUCCGGAAUCAUUGGGCGUAAAGCGCGCGUAGGCGGCCAGAUAAGUCCGGUGUGAAAGUCAAAGGCUCAACCUUUGAAUGCCGCUGGAAACUGUCUGGCUAGAGUCCGGGAGGGGCGAGUGGAAUUCCUGGUGUAGCGGUGAAAUGCGCAGAUAUCAGGAGGAACACCGGUGGCGAAGGCGGCUCUCUGGGGCUGUUCUGACGCUGAGGCGCGAAAGCUGGGGGAGCAAACAGGAUUAGAAACCCCGGUAGU
This 272-nucleotide ribosomal RNA is filed under the name uncultured bacterium. Its description in RNAcentral is "partial 16S ribosomal RNA". It matches the Rfam family "Bacterial small subunit ribosomal RNA", at positions 524 to 794 of the family's 1533-position model. The record is from RNAcentral.